This 254-nucleotide ribosomal RNA is filed under the name uncultured bacterium. RNAcentral describes it as "partial 16S ribosomal RNA". It matches the Rfam family "Bacterial small subunit ribosomal RNA", at positions 524 to 776 of the family's 1533-position model. The record is from RNAcentral.
UACGGAGGGUGCAGGCGUUGCCCGGAAUCACUGGGCGUAAAGCGUACGCAGGCGGCCCGUUAAGUCGGGUGUGAAAGGCCGGGGCUCAACCCCGGAAUUGCGCCCGAUACUGGCGAGCUUGAAUAAGGGAGAGGGAUAGCGGAAUUCCUGGUGUAGAGGUGAAAUUCGUAGAUAUCAGGAGGAACACCAGUUGCGAAAGCGGAUUCCUGGUCCGAUACUGACGCUCAUGUACGAAAGCGUGGGGAGCAAACAGG